GGGGGCGUAAAGGUUUCGACAGGGAGCAUGAGCUUCGGCAAGCGAGCAGCGGCACUGUGGAACCGCUAUAAAAUCCGCAGACAUAAAAACAAACGACAACAAUAAAACUGUUGCCCUUGCUGCCUGAUUAGGCGCAAGCGUUCCUGAGGAAGUACCACGGUCCGACUGGAGCGUCGAUGAGUGGUGAACGUGAACAGAAGAACGUCUUGGCUUCUGUCAUGAUCGAAAGACUACCGUAACGCAGGGUCUGUUGACGAGCCCUGUGUGAGGGGAAUCCUGAUUCGUUGACUGCGCUCGGAGAAAACCGUUGUAAGUGCUUUUUGGACAGGGGUUCGACUCCCCUCGCCUCCA
This 351-nucleotide transfer-messenger RNA is filed under the name bovine gut metagenome. It matches the Rfam family "transfer-messenger RNA". Rfam says of the family: Bacterial tmRNA, also known as 10Sa RNA or SsrA, is named for its dual tRNA and mRNA-like properties. Its role is to liberate the mRNA from a stalled ribosome. The record is from RNAcentral.